GGUUAAGUUAGAAAGGGCGCACGGUGGAUGCCUUGGCACUAGGAGCCGAUGAAGGACGGGACGAACACCGAUAUGCUUCGGGGAGCUGUAAGCAAGCUUUGAUCCGGAGAUUUCCGAAUGGGGAAACCCACCACUCGUAAUGGAGUGGUAUCCAUAUCUGAAUACAUAGGAUAUGAGAAGGCAGACCCGGGGAACUGAAACAUCUAAGUACCCGGAGGAAGAGAAAGCAAAUGCGAUUCCCUGAGUAGCGGCGAGCGAAACGGGACCAGCCCAAACCAAGAGGCUUGCCUCUUGGGGUUGUAGGACACUCUGUACGGAGUUACAAAGGAACGAGGUAGAUGAAGAGGUCUGGAAAGGCCCGCCAUAGAAGGUAACAGCCCUGUAGUCAAAACUUCGUUCUCUCCUGAGUGGAUCCUGAGUACGGCGGAACACGUGAAAUUCCGUCGGAAUCCGGGAGGACCAUCUCCCAAGGCUAAAUACUCCCUAGUGACCGAUAGUGAACCAGUACCGUGAGGGAAAGGUGAAAAGCACCCCGGAAGGGGAGUGAAAGAGAUCCUGAAACCGUGUGCCUACAAGUAGUCAGAGCCCGUUAACGGGUGAUGGCGUGCCUUUUGUAGAAUGAACCGGCGAGUUACGAUCCCGUGCAAGGUUAAGCAGAAGAUGCGGAGCCGCAGCGAAAGCGAGUCUGAAUAGGGCGAAUUGAGUACGUGGUCGUAGACCCGAAACCAGGUGAUCUACCCAUGUCCAGGGUGAAGUUCAGGUAACACUGAAUGGAGGCCCGAACCCACGCACGUUGAAAAGUGCGGGGAUGAGGUGUGGGUAGGGGUGAAAUGCCAAUCGAACCUGGAGAUAGCUGGUUCUCUCCGAAAUAGCUUUAGGGCUAGCCUCAAGGUAAGAGUCUCGGAGGUAGAGCACUGAUUGGACUAGGGGCCCCUACCGGGUUACCGAAUUCAGUCAAACUCCGAAUGCCGAUGACUUAUCCUUGGGAGUCAGACUGCGAGUGAUAAGAUCCGUAGUCGAAAGGGAAACAGCCCAGACCGCCAGCUAAGGUCCCAAAGUAUACGUUAAGUGGAAAAGGAUGUGGAGUUGCUUAGACAACCAGGAUGUUGGCUUAGAAGCAGCCACCAUUUAAAGAGUGCGUAAUAGCUCACUGGUCGAGUGACUCUGCGCCGAAAAUGUACCGGGGCUAAACGUAUCACCGAAGCUGCGGACUGUUCUUCGAACAGUGGUAGGAGAGCGUUCUAAGGGCUGUGAAGCAAGACCGGAAGGACUUGUGGAGCGCUUAGAAGUGAGAAUGCCGGUAUGAGUAGCGAAAGAGGGGUGAGAAUCCCCUCCACCGAAUGCCUAAGGUUUCCUGAGGAAGGCUCGUCCGCUCAGGGUUAGUCGGGACCUAAGCCGAGGCCGAAAGGCGUAGGCGAUGGACAACAGGUUGAUAUUCCUGUACCACCUCCUCACCAUUUGAGCAAUGGGGGGACGCAGGAGGAUAGGGUAAGCGCGGUAUUGGAUAUCCGCGUCCAAGCAGUUAGGCUGGGAAAUAGGCAAAUCCGUUUCCCGUGAAGGCUGAGCUGUGAUGGCGAGCGAAUUAUAGUAGCGAAGUUCCUGAUUCCACACUGCCAAGAAAAGCCUCUAGCGAGGUGAGAGGUGCCCGUACCGCAAACCGACACAGGUAGGCGAGGAGAGAAUCCUAAGGUGAUCGAGAGAACUCUCGUUAAGGAACUCGGCAAAAUGACCCCGUAACUUCGGGAGAAGGGGUGCUCUGUUAGGGUGCAAGCCCGAGAGAGCCGCAGUGAAUAGGCCCAGGCGACUGUUUAGCAAAAACACAGGUCUCUGCGAAGCCGUAAGGCGAAGUAUAGGGGCUGACGCCUGCCCGGUGCUGGAAGGUUAAGAGGAGCGCUUAGCGUAAGCGAAGGUGCGAAUUGAAGCCCCAGUAAACGGCGGCCGUAACUAUAACGGUCCUAAGGUAGCGAAAUUCCUUGUCGGGUAAGUUCCGACCCGCACGAAAGGCGCAACGAUCUGGGCACUGUCUCAACGAGAGACUCGGUGAAAUUAUAGUACCUGUGAAGAUGCAGGUUACCCGCGACAGGACGGAAAGACCCCGUGGAGCUUUACUGCAGCCUGAUAUUGAAUGUUGGUACAGCUUGUACAGGAUAGGUAGGAGCCUUGGAAACCGGAGCGCCAGCUUCGGUGGAGGCAUCGGUGGGAUACUACCCUGGCUGUAUUGACCUUCUAACCCGCCGCCCUUAUCGGGCGGGGAGACAGUGUCAGGUGGGCAGUUUGACUGGGGCGGUCGCCUCCUAAAAGGUAACGGAGGCGCCCAAAGGUUCCCUCAGAAUGGUUGGAAAUCAUUCGCAGAGUGUAAAGGCACAAGGGAGCUUGACUGCGAGACCUACAAGUCGAGCAGGGACGAAAGUCGGGCUUAGUGAUCCGGUGGUUCCGCAUGGAAGGGCCAUCGCUCAACGGAUAAAAGCUACCCCGGGGAUAACAGGCUUAUCUCCCCCAAGAGUCCACAUCGACGGGGAGGUUUGGCACCUCGAUGUCGGCUCAUCGCAUCCUGGGGCUGUAGUCGGUCCCAAGGGUUGGGCUGUUCGCCCAUUAAAGCGGUACGCGAGCUGGGUUCAGAACGUCGUGAGACAGUUCGGUCCCUAUCCGUCGCGGGCGCAGGAAAUUUGAGAGGAGCUGUCCUUAGUACGAGAGGACCGGGAUGGACGCACCGCUGGUGUACCAGUUGUUCUGCCAAGGGCAUCGCUGGGUAGCUAUGUGCGGACGGGAUAAGUGCUGAAAGCAUCUAAGCAUGAAGCCCCCCUCAAGAUGAGAUUUCCCAUUCCGCAAGGAAGUAAGAUCCCUGAAAGAUGAUCAGGUUGAUAGGUCUGAGGUGGAAGUGUGGCGACACAUGGAGCUGACAGAUACUAAUCGAUCGAGGACUUAACCAA
Molecule: ribosomal RNA, 2930 nt
Filed under: Bacillus amyloliquefaciens
Lineage: Bacteria; Bacillati; Bacillota; Bacilli; Caryophanales; Bacillaceae
Also listed under: 1 other name
Description: 23S ribosomal RNA
Rfam family: Bacterial large subunit ribosomal RNA
Source: RNAcentral